This 179-nucleotide non-coding RNA is filed under the name Planococcus rifietoensis. The record is from RNAcentral. Lineage: Bacteria; Bacillati; Bacillota; Bacilli; Caryophanales; Caryophanaceae.
UAGUGAUACCGCAACAAAGGUGCCCACUACGGGCUGAAUAGGGAAUCCGGUGAAAUCCCGGAGCUGUUCCCGCAACUGUAAGCGCAGACGAACCAUGAAAUCUCACUGUCCAAUGGACGGGAAGGGCAUGGGGAGAGUGACGCGCGAGCCAGGAGACCUGCCUCUGUUGUCGUUUUGCA